This is an RNA transcript of Beta vulgaris subsp. vulgaris (sugar beet), 4079 nucleotides long. It is a transcript of the gene named pentatricopeptide repeat-containing protein At1g71210, mitochondrial, with no coding region annotated. The transcript is spliced from 3 exons. NCBI's taxonomy places the organism in Eukaryota, Viridiplantae, Streptophyta, Magnoliopsida, Caryophyllales, Amaranthaceae. The record is from RefSeq and is a predicted model, not a curated record.
AAAGAACAGACCCUAACUAGCAAGAAGAAAGGUAGUUUUCAUCCCCAAAAAAAAAAAAAGUCUUCUUUAAACGUCAGUUUAAGUUUACUGCGAUAUCAGUCUUCCACAAUUUUCCCUCCUCCCCUGUUUAUCCUCCGUCACCCUUGUUUUCCUCUCAAAAAACGCCUGCUUCUGCCGAAACCAUUAGAACCAGAAGCAGCAGAGCUCCAAUCUCUCUCUCUCUGUCAAACAAACACAAAGAAAUAUCCAUUUGCUCUUUCUUCCAUGUCCCAAUCAAUUGUUAAUCCAAAAACCCGUUUCAUUAACAUUAUCACAAUCCUAUACUUUAGAUAAAAUUCACACAUAUGCCCAUAAAAAUCCAACCUUUACUUAUCAAAUUAUGCUGACACCAACACUCAAAUACAUAACCAAAACUAGGCCUUUUCUCUCUCCUCUUCUUCUUUCAAACUCCUUAUCUACUACACCUUCUGCAAAUCUCCUCCCUAAUUCACCUAUAAUACGAUACAAAUUUGUAGACCCAUCUUCAGAAUCGAAAAAGAUUGCUUCUACUUUCAGUGAUUGGUUUAGAACCUCGAAAAACCCUAUUUUUGAGAAGAUUUUCCAGAUUUUAAAUACUCGAGGUGAUGAAGAUCUUGCCUCUUCUACAAAGUCUGAUGGGAGUCUUGCUCAAUUGGAAAUAAGAUUGACAGAAUCUUAUGUUUUGGAGGUACUUGAUUAUAAAAGAGAUGAUAUUUUAAGUUGUUUGAAAUUCUUUGAUUGGUGUGGUAGACAACCCUAUUUUAAUCAUACUCGAACUACUUGUGUUGCGCUUUUUAAGAUUUUGAGUCGUGCUAAGCUGACUUCUUUGAUGCUAGAUUUGUUAGAUAGUUUUAGUAAGCAGAAAAAUUUGCAUAGGGUUAGGUAUAAUGAUAUGCUUGUGAUGGGGUAUGCAUUAGCUGGAAAAGUUGAUGUUGCACUUCAGGUGUUUGGUAGAAUGCGCUUUCACGGCCUCGAUUUGGAUGAGUUUGCUUACCAUAUUCUUUUGAAUUCAUUGGUUGAGGAAGGUUGCUUCGAUGCGGUGAAUGUUGUGUUGGAGCAAAUUAGGAUGAGGGGGCACCAGAAUGAGGUCACUCAUAGUAUUGUGACCAAGAGUUUGUGUAAGCAGGGUCAGCUGGAAGAGGCGGAGAAGUACUUGCGGGGGUUGUUGGGUCAGGAGAAGGUGUUGCCAGGGCGUAUUCUUGGUGUGCUUGUGGAUGCCCUUUGUAAGGAUAAAAAGUUUUCCCAUGCUGGUAAGUUAAUCCAGGAGUUUGCGGAUGUUGGGACUUUCUCUAUGCAAGAGGCAUAUGGUGUUUGGAUUAAGAGUCUUGUGCAAGCUGGUAAAUUAGAUAGUGCCGUGGAAUUCUUGCACACUAAAAAAUCUGUUGAAGGGUAUAUUCCUGAAGUGUUCAGGUACAAUAUUUUGAUCUGUAGGCUUCUCAAGGAAAACCGCCUUGAAGAGGUUUCUGAUCUGUUGUUGGAUAUGAAAGAGAGCCAAAUUGUGCCUGAUAAGGUGACCAUGAAUGCUGUAAUGUGCUUCUUUUGCAAGGCUGGAAUGAUGGAUGUUGCACUCGAAUUGUAUGAUAGGAAGGCCGAGUUUGGGCUUACUCCACAUAGUUUGGUAUUUAAUUAUGUUAUAAACACUCUAUGUGGGGAUGGCAGCACCGAUGAAGCAUAUCGGAUACUGACGAACUCUAUGAAACAGGGUUAUUUUCCUGGCAAGAGGACCUUCUCUGUUCUUGCUGAUGCGUUGUGUAGGGAAAGUAAGCUUGAUAAAAUGAAGGACCUAGUUAUGUUUGCCUUGGAGCGUAAAUUCAUUCCUGCCGACUCUGCAUAUGAAAAAUUCAUUAGAGCCCUUUGCCGGGCUAAAAGGGUUGACGAUGGUUACUUGAUCCAUGGAGAACUGAACAGGCUAAAUAAGAAAACCAGUGAAAGUACAUAUUCGUACUUGAUAUGUGGCUUUAAUCAGGCAAGCAGGGGAGACCUUGCCGCUAGACUUCUAAUUGAAAUGCAAGAUAAAGGUCAUAAACCAUCAGACAGAUUGUUUAAAGAUGUUGUCUAUCGUGUAUGUGAAAUGGAUAGUCCUGGAAAGCACUUUGUGCAGUUGCUUGAGAUGCAAUUGUCUCGUUAUGGAUCUGACCAGCGCACUUUCAGUUACUUUAUCUAUGGGGCUGGGCAUGCCAGAAGGCCUGAGCUUGGAAGAGCAGUUUAUGAAAUGAUGGAGAGAUCUGGCAUUGCCCCUUGUUUGAGCUCAGACCUUCUUAUGCUGAGGUGUUACCUGAGAAGCGAAAAUAUAUUGGAUGCACUAAAGUUCUUUGAUGAUGUCAGCAAAAAAAGAAAGGUGGGAAGGAAGAUGUACAAUACUAUGGUGGUUGGACUUUGCAAAUCAGGGAAGACGAACCUUGCAUUGUCUAUGUUGAAGCAAGGAAGGUCCAAUGGAUUGGUCCCUAGCAUGCAAAGUUAUGAGGAGCUCAUAAGGCGGUGUUGCUCAGAUCAUAAUUAUGAUGAUGCUAUUAAAUUAAUUAACGACAUGGAGAAAGUUGGACGGAAGAUUUCAUCUUUUGUUGGCAAUAUAUUUUUGUUGCACUCAAUGCGUUCUACAGAUUUAUACAAGGCAUGGAAUCGUUCAAGAGAUGUAUCUACUGAGACAACUAGUACUGCAAUGCUUGGCCGUAUAAUUGCUGUUUUUUCUGGCUAUGUAGCGUUGGAUUUUACCGCUGAGGACUUGGAAGAAGUUAUUGGGAAGUGUUUUCGUCUUGAUAUCUUCUCUUACAACAUGAUGCUCAGAAUAUUGAGCAUCAACAAGAUGGAUGAAGCUUGCGAAUUGUUUAAACGGUUGUAUCACAAAGGAUAUCGACCAAAUAGAUUUACUUAUGACAUAGUUGUUCACGGUCUCUAUAAGCAUGGUAGAUCCGUUGAAGCUGAAAUUUGGGCAGACGAAAUGUUACGACGAGGACAUGUUCCAACAGAGUGCACUCAUGUGUUCAUUUGAAGAAAAAUUUACAUGGUCAGACACCAAAAAAGAACAGGGUGUGGAAAGUCCUAUUAGGACUUAGGAGACAAUCAAGGGCCAAAAAAAGCCAAGUUUCGAAUGAAAUGAGGUUUACACCCAUUUGACGAGAUAACUAUGUGGCGAAGGGAAUCUUUUGAUAUGCUCGAUUCUUGCUGUCUUGUGUAGGUAAUGCAGUAAUUUAGAUGCAGGAAAAUUUCGAAGCUCAGUUUCCCUUUGCCAGGAAGCUCUUUCGACGACUACUGGAUCGAACAGAUGUCUCUUUGGUAGAAGGUUGAUAACCUGUUAUUAUAACAUUGGACAAUGAUGCUCUCUCAAGUUCCCUUCUACAUCAACGAAAGUGGUACAUAAUUAUAUAAGCUAGCCCUUGUUUGCUAUGUACUAGUUGGAGUUGACAAUUGACAUGUUUUUGGAGUUCUGAUCAGCAUUCCUUAAAAUAACGUCUGAGGCUCUUCGACAGUGGUUGACCGAAUUAUACUCUAGUUUGGGACUUGGUAGCAGCGCUUGGCUGUCAGAACUCAGAUAAUCACCUUACCUGGUCAGCGAUGCUGACUAAGCUGUGUUAUCUUCUAAUGUUGGUGUCUGAUUAGUCUUUCUCAUCACAUUUCUUCCAAAUAAAUAGCUCUCUGAAGAUCAACACUGGAUAGGAAAGCACUUCUUCCAAUUAGUUCAACCUGUUAUUCAGAUUCAAGCUACUAAUUAAUGGUAAACUAUUCAGAAUGCUAUAUCUGGUAAAUGGGUCUGGAUUUUUGCUCCAUUGAGUGGACCGCUAUAACAAGCUUGCAGGGAGGCUAAUAGUUUUGGUGUAUUUUUAUCGUAGUAUCAUGAAUAUACAGGACAGCAGUAGAAGUCCUAUUCUUUGAAAUUUUUCCCUUUUUUUGUCGGAAGAAGAAAAUGAGCUAAAAUAGUGUCAUUGAAAAUAAAAGGAAGAAUGAUAUAUCUUCAAGCUCUUGUUGUAAUGAACAUUCUUUUUGUUUAUUUUUCUGCAAAUCUCAGGUUUCUGAUGUACUAUCAGUCUGUUUCCUUUGGAAGAUAAUGUGUAUUGUAUGAUGUA